CCUACGGGAGGCAGCAGUGGGGGAUAUUGCACAAUGGGGGGAACCCUGAUGCAGCGACGCCGCGUGGGUGAAGGAGUGCUUCGGCAUGUAAAGCCCUAUCGGCAGGGAAGAAGCAAGACGGUACCUGACUAAGAAGCCCCGGCUAACGACGUGCCAGCAGCCGCGGUAAUACGUAGGGGGCGAGCGUUAUCCGGAUUCACUGGGUGUAAAGGGAGCGUAGACGGCGAUGCAAGCCAGGGGUGAAAGCCCGGGGCCAAACCCCGGGACUGCCCUUGGAACUGUGCGGCUAGAGUGCGGGAGGGGCAGGCGGAAUUCCUGGUGUAGCGGUGAAAUGCGUAGAUAUCAGGAGGAACACCGGCGGCGAAGGCGGCCUGCUGGACCGCGACUGACGUUGAGGCUCGAAAGCGUGGGGAGCGAACAGGAUUAGAUACCCUGGUAGUC
This 441-nucleotide ribosomal RNA is filed under the name uncultured bacterium. RNAcentral describes it as "partial 16S ribosomal RNA". It matches the Rfam family "Bacterial small subunit ribosomal RNA", at positions 338 to 795 of the family's 1533-position model. The record is from RNAcentral.